Molecule: non-coding RNA, 45 nt
Organism: Schistosoma margrebowiei
Lineage: Eukaryota; Metazoa; Platyhelminthes; Trematoda; Strigeidida; Schistosomatidae
Source: Rfam
AUCCAACUGACGAGUCCGAAAUGAGACGAAAUGUGCGUCCUGGAC